RNAcentral lists this ribosomal RNA (776 nucleotides) under uncultured Neocallimastigales. RNAcentral describes it as "partial large subunit ribosomal RNA". It matches the Rfam family "Eukaryotic large subunit ribosomal RNA", at positions 1 to 616 of the family's 3401-position model. The record is from RNAcentral. Lineage: Eukaryota; Fungi; Neocallimastigomycota; Neocallimastigomycetes; Neocallimastigales.
AGAGAGAGACAUGCGUGCAUAUCAAUAAGCGGGAGGAAAAGAAACUAACAAGGAUUCCCCUAGUAACGGCGAGUGAAGCGGGAAGAGCUCAAAUUUGAAAUCUUAAAGGGUUUCCCUUUACGAAUUGUAGUUUAAAGAAGUGUUUUCUGUUGAGGUUUUGGUAAAAGUUCUUUGGAAUAGGACAUCAUAGAGGGUGAGAAUCCCGUAUUUGACCUUUACUUUCAACUUUGUGAUACACUUUCAAAGAGUCGGAUUGUUUGGGAAUGCAGUCCAAAAUGGGUGGUAAAUUUCAUCUAAAGCUAAAUAUUGGCGAGAGACCGAUAGCGAACAAGUACCGUGAGGGAAAGACUGAAAAGAACUUUGAAAAGAGAGUUAAACAGUACGUGAAAUUGUCAAAAGGGAAGCGUUUGACACCAGUGUUGUUUUUCUGAAAAUCAAUUAAAGAACUGUUUAUGCUAAGUUGUUUAGACUUUAUCAGCUAACUGUUUAGUUUUGAGCUUUUCUUUAAUGCACUUUUCAGUUAACAAGUCAACAUCAAUUUCUUUUGCUGUAAAAAAGCUUGAGGAAGGUGGCUUGAGAUUCGUCUUAAGUGUUUAUAGCCUCUUGCCUAUGCAGUCGGAGAGAUUGAGGUCUGCAGCGUAGAUCCUUCGGGGCUAAAUGCAUUUGUGCUAGGUUAUAGCAUUUUAUAGACAACUUGUUGACUAUGAUUUGUCUUGUAGCUUACUCGCUUAUGUUAUUUUACCUACGCUUAGGAUGUUGAGCGCAUGUCUCUCUCU